UAUGAUAUGGCAGCAGCAGGUUUGCGCCGCAGGUGCAGUGAGUAGUAAAGGAAUCUUGGGUGCAGUUGCCCGUUAGGAGCUAGGGUGACUCAUCCUAUCAGAGUUCGUGCGCAACCAUCCCCAGAAAAGAGUGCCAGUGUUCGGGGCAUGGUAGUUGAUGGCUGCUCCGCGUCACUUUAGUGUAUGUGAUGCAGUGCAUGGGUGUAUGUGAUACACGUUUGUCUGGUCUCUGGCGAAUAAAAGUUUAGCUUUCGCUAUAUUCUCGAAAAGCCGCAAAAUAUCCUGGAUUUCGGGCGA
Long non-coding RNA from Amphibalanus amphitrite, 297 nucleotides. RefSeq lists it as uncharacterized. Lineage: Eukaryota; Metazoa; Arthropoda; Thecostraca; Balanomorpha; Balanidae. The record is from RefSeq and is a predicted model, not a curated record. The transcript is spliced from 3 exons.